CCAGCAGCCGCGGUAAUUCCAGCUCCAAUAGCGUAUAUUAAAGUUGUUGCAGUUAAAAAGCUCGUAGUUGGAUUUCUGGCAUGAUGCGCCUGGCCCGCUCCGAUUACGGAUGUGUGUGCUAGUGCGCGUCUGCCAUCCAUUUACAGAAUGUAUCUACCCUUCAUUGGGCCGGAUAUGUGAUGUAAAUCUUUUACUUUGAAAAAAUUAGAGUGUUUAAAGCAGGCAUUUGCUAUGAAUACAUUAGCAUAGAAUAAUAAUCUAGGACGUAGGUACUAUUUUGUUGGUUUGCGCACCCACGUAAUGAUUAAUAGAGACAGGCGGGGCUAUUCGUAUUGCAUUGUCAGAGGUGAAAUUCUUGGAUUUCUGCAAGACGAACUACUGCGAAAGCAUUUAGCAAGGAUGUUUUCAUUAAUCAAG
Molecule: ribosomal RNA, 417 nt
Filed under: uncultured eukaryote
Lineage: Eukaryota
Description: SSU rRNA
Rfam family: Eukaryotic small subunit ribosomal RNA
Source: RNAcentral